This 533-nucleotide ribosomal RNA is filed under the name Staphylococcus aureus. Its description in RNAcentral is "partial 23S ribosomal RNA". It matches the Rfam family "Bacterial large subunit ribosomal RNA", at positions 1 to 527 of the family's 2925-position model. The record is from RNAcentral. Lineage: Bacteria; Bacillati; Bacillota; Bacilli; Caryophanales; Staphylococcaceae.
GAUUAAGUUAUUAAGGGCGCACGGUGGAUGCCUUGGCACUAGAAGCCGAUGAAGGACGUUACUAACGACGAUAUGCUUUGGGGAGCUGUAAGUAAGCUUUGAUCCAGAGAUUUCCGAAUGGGGAAACCCAGCAUGAGUUAUGUCAUGUUAUCGAUAUGUGAAUACAUAGCAUAUCAGAAGGCACACCCGGAGAACUGAAACAUCUUAGUACCCGGAGGAAGAGAAAGAAAAUUCGAUUCCCUUAGUAGCGGCGAGCGAAACGGGAAGAGCCCAAACCAACAAGCUUGCUUGUUGGGGUUGUAGGACACUCUAUACGGAGUUACAAAGGACGACAUUAGACGAAUCAUCUGGAAAGAUGAAUCAAAGAAGGUAAUAAUCCUGUAGUCGAAAAUGUUGUCUCUCUUGAGUGGAUCCUGAGUACGACGGAGCACGUGAAAUUCCGUCGGAAUCUGGGAGGACCAUCUCCUAAGGCUAAAUACUCUCUAGUGACCGAUAGUGAACCAGUACCGUGAGGGAAAGGUGAAAAGCACCCC